This 434-nucleotide ribosomal RNA is filed under the name uncultured bacterium. RNAcentral's name for it is "bacterial SSU rRNA". It matches the Rfam family "Bacterial small subunit ribosomal RNA", at positions 355 to 786 of the family's 1533-position model. The record is from RNAcentral.
UGAGGAAUAUUGGUCAAUGGGCGAGAGCCUGAACCAGCCAAGUCGCGUGAGGGAAGACGGUCCUACGGAUUGUAAACCUCUUUUGUCGGGGAGCAAUAAAGCGUACGCGUACGCAGAUGCGAGUACCCGAAGAAAAAGCAUCGGCUAACUCCGUGCCAGCAGCCGCGGUAAUACGGAGGAUGCGAGCGUUAUCCGGAUUUAUUGGGUUUAAAGGGUGCGCAGGCGGAAAGUGCAAGUCAGCGGUCAAACGACGGGGCUCAACCCCGUCUCGCCGUUGAAACUGUCUUUCUAGAGUGAGCGAGAAGUAUGCGGAAUGCGUGGUGUAGCGGUGAAAUGCAUAGAUAUCACGCAGAACUCCGAUUGCGAAGGCAGCAUACCGGCGCUCAACUGACGCUCAUGCACGAAAGCGUGGGUAUCGAACAGGAUUAGAUACC